This 397-nucleotide ribosomal RNA is filed under the name uncultured bacterium. RNAcentral describes it as "bacterial SSU rRNA". It matches the Rfam family "Bacterial small subunit ribosomal RNA", at positions 28 to 428 of the family's 1533-position model. The record is from RNAcentral.
GACGAACGCUGGCGGCGUGCUUAACACAUGCAAGUCGAGCGGUAAGGCUCCUUCGGGAGUACACGAGAGGCGAACGGGUGAGUAACACGUGAGCAAUCUGCCCUUCACUUUGGGAUAACUCCGGGAAACCGGUGCUAAUACCGAAUGCGACCACUUCAGGCAUCUGACGGUGGUGGAAAGUUCCGGCGGUGAAGGAUGAGCUCGCGGCCUAUCAGCUUGUUGGUGAGGUAAUGGCUCACCAAGGCUUCGACGGGUAGCCGGCCUGAGAGGGUGACCGGCCACACUGGGACUGAGACACGGCCCAGACUCCUACGGGAGGCAGCAGUGGGGAAUAUUGGACAAUGGGCGAAAGCCUGAUCCAGCAACGCCGCGUGAGGGAUGACGGCCUCGGUUGUAA